RNAcentral lists this ribosomal RNA (449 nucleotides) under uncultured bacterium. Its description in RNAcentral is "partial 16S ribosomal RNA". It matches the Rfam family "Bacterial small subunit ribosomal RNA", at positions 354 to 796 of the family's 1533-position model. The record is from RNAcentral.
GUGGGGAAUUUUGGACAAUGGGCGAAAGCCUGAUCCAGCAAUGCCGCGUGUGUGAAGAAGGCCUUCGGGUUGUAAAGCACUUUUGUCCGGAAAGAAAUCCUUUGGGUUAAUACCUCGGAGGGAUGACGGUACCGGAAGAAUAAGGACCGGCUAACUACGUGCCAGCAGCCGCGGUAAUACGUAGGGUCCGAGCGUUAAUCGGAAUUACUGGGCGUAAAGCGUGCGCAGGCGGUUUUGUAAGACAGAUGUGAAAUCCCCGGGCUUAACCUGGGAAUUGCAUUUGUGACUGCAAGGCUAGAGUGUGUCAGAGGGGGUAGAAUUCCACGUGUAGCAGUGAAAUGCGUAGAGAUGUGGAGGAAUACCGAUGGCGAAGGCAGCCCCCUGGGAUAACACUGACGCUCAUGCACGAAAGCGUGGGUAGCAAACAGGAUUAGAUACCCGGGUAGUCC